GAUGAACGCUGGCGGCGUGCCUAAUACAUGCAAGUCGAGCGAACAGACGAGGAGCUUGCUCCUCUGACGUUAGCGGCGGACGGGUGAGUAACACGUGGAUAACCUACCUAUAAGACUGGGAUAACUUCGGGAAACCGGAGCUAAUACCGGAUAAUAUAUUGAACCGCAUGGUUCAAUAGUGAAAGACGGUUUUGCUGUCACUUAUAGAUGGAUCCGCGCCGCAUUAGCUAGUUGGUAAGGUAACGGCUUACCAAGGCAACGAUGCGUAUCCGACCUGAGAGGGUGAUCGGCCACACUGGAACUGAGACACGGUCCAGACUCCUACGGGAGGCAGCAGUAGGGAAUCUUCCGCAAUAGGCGAAAGCCUGACGGAGCAACGCCGCGUGAGUGAUGAAGGUGUUCGGAUCGUAAAACUCUGUUAUUAGGGAAGAACAAAUGUGUAAGUAACUAUGCACGUCUUGACGGUACCUAAUCAGAAAGCCACGGCUAACUACGUG
Molecule: ribosomal RNA, 497 nt
Filed under: uncultured bacterium
Lineage: Bacteria
Description: partial 16S ribosomal RNA
Rfam family: Bacterial small subunit ribosomal RNA
Source: RNAcentral